GACGAACGCUGGCGGCGUGCCUAACACAUGCAAGUCGAGCGAAUGAAGUUCCUUCGGGAAUGGAUUUAGCGGCGGACGGGUGAGUAACACGUGGGCAACCUGCCUCAUAGAGGGGAAUAGCCUUCCGAAAGGGAGAUUAAUACCGCAUAAGAUUGUAGUAUCGCAUGAUACAGCAAUUAAAGGAGCAAUCCGCUAUGAGAUGGGCCCGCGGCGCAUUAGCUAGUUGGUGAGGUAACGGCUCACCAAGGCGACGAUGCGUAGCCGACCUGAGAGGGUGAUCGGCCACAUUGGGACUGAGACACGGCCCAGACUCCUACGGGAGGCAGCAGUGGGGAAUAUUGCACAAUGGGGGAAACCCUGAUGCAGCAACGCCGCGUGAGUGAUGACGGCCUUCGGGUUGUAAAGCUCUGUCUUCAGGGACGUUAAUGACGGUACCUGAGGAGGAAGCCACGGCUAACUACGUG
Molecule: ribosomal RNA, 464 nt
Filed under: uncultured bacterium
Lineage: Bacteria
Description: partial 16S ribosomal RNA
Rfam family: Bacterial small subunit ribosomal RNA
Source: RNAcentral